ACUGCUCAGUAACACGUGGAUAACCUGCCCUUGGGUCCGGCAUAACCCCGGGAAACUGGGGAUAAUUCCGGAUAACGCAUAUGUGCUGGAAUGCUUUAUGCGUCAAAUGGAUUCGUCUGCCCAAGGAUGGGUCUGCGGCCUAUCAGGUAGUAGUGGGUGUAAUGUACCUACUAGUCGACAACGGGUACGGGUUGUGAGAGCAAGAGCCCGGAGAUGGAUUCUGAGACAUGAAUCCAGGCCCUACGGGGCGCAGCAGGCGCGAAAACUUUACAAUGCGGGAAACCGUGAUAAGGGGACACCGAGUGUCAGCAUCAUAUGCUGGCUGUCCAGGUGUGUAAAAUACACCUGUUAGCAAGGGCCGGGCAAGACCGGUGCCAGCCGCCGCGGUAACACCGGCGGCCCGAGUGGUGAUCGUGAUUAUUGGGUCUAAAGGGUCCGUAGCCGGUUUGGUCAGUCCUCCGGGAAAUCUGAUAGCUCAACUAUUAGGCUAUCGGGGGAUACUACCAGACUUGGAACCGGGAGAGGUAAGAGGUACUACAGGGGUAGGAGUGAAAUCUUGUAAUCCCUGUGGGACCACCUGCGGCGAAGGCGUCUUACCAGAACGGGUUCGACGGUGAGGGACGAAAGCUGGGGGCACGAACCGGAUUAGAUACCCGGGUAGUCCCAGCUGUAAACGAUGCUCGCUAGGUGUCAGGCAUGGCGCGACCGUGUCUGGUGCCGCAGGGAAGCCGUGAAGCGAGCCACCUGGGAAGUACGGCCGCAAGGCUGAAACUUAAAGGAAUUGGCGGGGGAGCAC
Molecule: ribosomal RNA, 796 nt
Filed under: uncultured archaeon
Lineage: Archaea
Description: bacterial SSU rRNA
Rfam family: Archaeal small subunit ribosomal RNA
Source: RNAcentral